RNAcentral lists this unclassified non-coding RNA (198 nucleotides) under rhizosphere metagenome. RNAcentral describes it as "partial ribosomal RNA internal transcribed spacer region". The record is from RNAcentral.
GUAGUCACCCGGGUUGCCGCAAGGCCUCUCGGGUAACCUACCACCCUUUGUUUAUUACACUUUGUUGCUUUGGCAAGCCUGCCCUCGGGCUGCUGGCUCCGGCCGGCGAGCGCUUGCCAGAGGACCACAACUCUGUAUUAAAUGUCGUCUGAGUACUAUAAAAUAGUUAAAACUUUCAACAACGGAUCUCUUGGUUCU